UAAAAUGUUGUCAUAUAUGUAUAAACUAAACAUUUUUCUUAGAUUACAUGUAUACGUGUCUAUCUUAGACACUAUAAAAAUCUAUACUUUCGUAAAAAGUGAUUCAUUUUCUAGGUAUUUCUAAACAAACGAGACACACUUUUAGAAAACUAUAAUAGGUAUAGUUUUACAAGAAUAUUGCUAACUUUUACAUACUAGAAACACAAUUUUCAAGAAGUCACUUUCGUAUACAAGAACAAACGAACAUUUUAACACGUAAAUCUGUUUUUAUACUAAGAUUUGUGAGACAUUAACUUCACGUACGUUCGAGUACACAUUUCAAGUC
Molecule: long non-coding RNA, 325 nt
Filed under: Lactuca sativa (garden lettuce)
Lineage: Eukaryota; Viridiplantae; Streptophyta; Magnoliopsida; Asterales; Asteraceae
Description: long non-coding RNA (LSAT_LNC005224)
Source: RNAcentral